This is a small nucleolar RNA of Coffea eugenioides, 86 nucleotides long. RefSeq annotates it as small nucleolar RNA U30. The record is from RefSeq and is a predicted model, not a curated record. The transcript has a single exon. NCBI's taxonomy places the organism in Eukaryota, Viridiplantae, Streptophyta, Magnoliopsida, Gentianales, Rubiaceae.
UGCUAUGAUGACGAUGAUGUCAUAAUAUCUCGUUAAUCUGAUUUCAACUGAGGAAAAUCCUCCAAUCCAUUCUUACUAGACUGAGC